Molecule: microRNA, 21 nt
Filed under: Rattus norvegicus (Norway rat)
Lineage: Eukaryota; Metazoa; Chordata; Mammalia; Rodentia; Muridae
Description: rno-miR-3592
Source: miRBase by way of RNAcentral
AAGUGUUGUCCGUGAAUGAUU